Molecule: ribosomal RNA, 433 nt
Filed under: uncultured bacterium
Lineage: Bacteria
Description: partial 16S ribosomal RNA
Rfam family: Bacterial small subunit ribosomal RNA
Source: RNAcentral
AACGAACGCUGGCGGCAUGCCUAACACAUGCAAGUCGAACGAGACCUUCGGGUCUAGUGGCGCACGGGUGCGUAACGCGUGGGAACCUGCCAUUAGGUUCGGGAUAACUCCCCGAAAGGGGUGCUAAUACCGGAUAAUGUCUUCGGACCAAAGAUUUAUCGCCUUUGGAUGGGCCCGCGUUGGAUUAGCUAGUUGGUAGGGUAAAAGCCUACCAAGGCGACGAUCCAUAGCUGGUCUGAGAGGAUGAUCAGCCACACUGGGACUGAGACACGGCCCAGACUCCUACGGGAGGCAGCAGUGGGGAAUAUUGGACAAUGGGCGAAAGCCUGAUCCAGCAAUGCCGCGUGAGUGAUGAAGGCCUUAGGGUUGUAAAGCUCUUUUACCCGGGAUGAUAAUGACAGUACCGGGAGAAUAAGCUCCGGCUAACUCCGUG